CUGACAAUCGCUGGGCUUCUAAAGAAAUUUGGGCUUAACUAAUUUAACUCUUUUUAUUCUUCUGUUUUUAAUUUUAUUGCAACCCAUUUAUUUAUGUUUCGACAAUUAAGUUCUUUUUUUUUUCUAAAAAACACCUUAUCGUCGUAGGCUAAAUAAGCCAAAUAUGUCGUCUUUUUUUCUUAAUUCGCCUUUUAGGCCCUCUUUUUUUAAAAUUAUGAAAAUAGAUUGAUUUUAGAGAGUGUACACACUCUCUCUCCAAGAUUUUUUUUAAUUUUGUUAGGGUUAGGGUUAAAAUAUUUUUAGAAAUUAAGAUUUAAGGUUUUAGGAGUGAAAUCAUGAAAGUUUAUAGGUAGAUUUAUGGGGUCAGGGAUGCGAUAACACGUUUCAGAACAUAUACAUUUCAUAACUCAUGCCGGGAUAGGACCAUUACCUCAGAAACUCAUCUUAUGAAAGUUAGGUUUCGGAGUGAUAGUACUUGAUAAAGUCAUGAGUCGAAGUCUCUUGAUCCAUUUGGAUAAAGAUUGGACAGUGAUCCGAUAUUGAAUGAGGUAAGUGGCGGAUUAAAAUACUUUGGAACAAGUUCAUCCAAUCACAAUUAGCAACUCCCCUAUCAAGCCGCUCCCUAAUAUUCGUUUCAGGCAAAUUACCCCGUUCCCACGUAAACUAUGGACCCGAAUAUCCAAUAUCCAUUAACUGACAUUCCUCAAGCACAUUCCGAAAAUCCAACAUUAUUCUUUCUUCCCUCGGCGUACCACCCACCUUUUCAUAAGAGUACAAAAUUUCGUUAAAGUCGCCACAAACAAGCUAAGGCAAAAACUUGAUUUCUCCUUAGACUUUUCAACAACUCCUAUGUAUAUUCCCUAUGACUUGCAUCCGGUGCCCCAUAAAACCCAGUCAAUCUCCACAUUAGACCAACUUCAUCUUCUUGAAUUUCCACAUCAAUGUGGUUCUUUGAAUAAUUUCGGAUUUGGACCAUAAGAUUUUUCUUCCAAGCCAGACACAAACCUCCCCUAGUUCCUUCUGCUUUAACUUUUAAUCCAUUGCAGAAACCACACCUCCUCCAAACCCGCUCCAUCCUAAUCUCAUUCAAUUUGGUCUCCAUACAGAAGACCAGUGGGGAUUAUAAAUCUUUAGCAUGUGUCGAAGUAUCCGCUCAGCCCGUGGACUCCCCAACCCACGGACAUUCGAACUUAUAAGUUUCAUUGCUUCCAAUCAGCUUGCCCCUUGGCAGUCGCCGAUACAGAUUGAAUCAGAACAUUAUCGUGCUCUUUGAAUAAUGUUAAUGAAUUCUUAGAAUUAGAAACGUUAACAUUCACAGCCUCCUAUCUAGGCCUCUUUUUUCCGUCUCCACCCCCAGUUGGAAUUUUCUCACUAUUGUGAUCUAUAGUUACAAGAUCCAGGCCACUAAAAGAUUCGCCUAUAAUUUCUAGCAAGAAUCAAUUAUGAGCUAAUUCGACCUUUCUUCACUAAUCACUCGGGUGCUCUUUUGUGAGAAACCUUCAUAAUGUUCCUACCUAACCCUCGAUGUUCAUGGCCUGACAUCCAUUCGAUAGUGCAUUAAAAAGUUCAAAGACUGGGAAGGGUUGAGUUUCGAAUUCAAUUUUGGCUUAAGGUUUCAAACAUAAAGGUUGAUUAAGAAAGGUAAUGUAAAGCUCAAAUUCAGGAAGUAGGGAUAAUGUAAUGUUUAAGGUUGGUCCUUUAGGCUCAAGGCUAUACAAACAAUGCCUAAGGUCUUUCCCGGAUUAGUCACCUACCAACGAUCUAUUAAGCAUGCAUCUAUUUAAACUAACAAUUAGCAAUUUAAAUUAUUUAUCUACAAGGAUUCAUAUAUUGUAUUCAUCCUACUAUACAUUUUAUAUAUUUUCAUUUCGGUUAUUGCCUCUAAUCUAUUAUACCUAUUAACUAAGUGAACUAAUUAAUCUACAAUUAAGAGCAAGAAAUUAUCUAGUAUCAUUCAAAAUUUACAAGUUUGGCAAUCUUAUAUAUGCCUUUGAUAUGUACAACUACUAACUUAUUACUCAAUUACAGUCCAAGCACCGUGCAAUAACACAAAUUAAAAAUGAAAGCAAGAAAUAUUUUUGGAUAUUUGAAAAUUAAAAAAAAAAAGAAAACUUUUUUGAAUUUUUUGAUUUUUUUUUGAAAAAUGCAUAAAAACUAAAAUAAACUCACAAAUAAGCAUAAAACAAGAAAACAUAAACACACAUAAAAACUUAUAUGCACUCAUCCACACUCAGACUACACAUUGUCCCCAAUGCGUUCAAAAGAAAGGAUAGGAGGUUACUGAACUUCCCUAGAAUGGAACAUCAGACUAGCUCAGGCGUCCACCUCCUCGUUGAAGCUCCAUAUGUAUUGUAGUCUUUUAGGGUAGCUCGAUGUAUAUAAGAAAAACAAACAACAAACAAUUACAACACGUAAAAUAAAAAUGUUCGAAGACAAAAAUUAAAGUGUUUAAAGUUUUAUAAGCCGCAUAAAAUAAAAAAAUACAAAGACAUAUAACUAAGCGGAAUCAUCUGAGAUUAACUCUGGUUCCAUGGGUUGUUUCCCCUUACCUCUUGUGCUUGAAGGUUUGUAACCCUUGUUUGAUUUUUCUCAUGGUUUUUCUAAAUUGAUCCCUCGUCUAGGUGUGGAUACGAAUGUUGUAUUCAUCGUGUUUUGAUCUCUGUUGGGUUUGUCAUUCCUUCCACACCUUUCUUGAACCAUGUAUCUUUUUGGUUUUUUUUUGCCACAUUGGUUUUCCUUCCCCAUGAUUACUAUCACAUUUCUCUACAUAUGUUUUCAUCAUCUUAAUUGUUCAGGAGUUGUAACCUCUUGAUUCAACAAGCUUAUCUAGUUGUUUUUGAAUAUUUUCCAGCAUACCUUCUAUUUUUUACUUUGUUGGGGUCAAUUGAGUCUGCUCUCCUUUCGAC
Molecule: long non-coding RNA, 2906 nt
Filed under: Gossypium barbadense (sea-island cotton)
Lineage: Eukaryota; Viridiplantae; Streptophyta; Magnoliopsida; Malvales; Malvaceae
Description: long non-coding RNA (GBAR_LNC018073)
Source: RNAcentral